GAUGAACGCUGGCGGCGUGCCUAAUACAUGCAAGUCGAGCGAACAGACGAGGAGCUUGCUCCUCUGACGUUAGCGGCGGAAGGGACAGUAACACGAGGAUAACCUACCUAUAAGACUGGGAUAACUUCGGGAAACCGGAGCUAAAACCGGAUAAUAUAUUCAACCGCAUGGUUCAAUAGUGAAAGACGGUUUUGCUGUAACUUAUAGAUGGAUCCGCGCCGCAUUAGCUAGUUGGUAAGGUAACAGCUUACCAAGGCAACGAUGCGUAGCCGACCUGAGAGCGGGAACGGCCACACUGGAACCGACAGGCGGUCCUGAGUCCGACGGGAGGCAGAAGUAGCGAAGCUACCGAAAUGUGCGAAAUCCUGACGGAUCAGCGGCGCGUUAGUGAUGAAGGUCUUCGGACCGUAAAACUCUGUUAGGAGGGAAGAACAAAUUUGGAAGGAACUAUGCUCGUGUUGACGGUACCUGCUCAGAAAGCCACGGCUAACUACGUG
This 497-nucleotide ribosomal RNA is filed under the name uncultured bacterium. RNAcentral's name for it is "partial 16S ribosomal RNA". It matches the Rfam family "Bacterial small subunit ribosomal RNA", at positions 28 to 507 of the family's 1533-position model. The record is from RNAcentral.